This 500-nucleotide ribosomal RNA is filed under the name uncultured bacterium. Its description in RNAcentral is "partial 16S ribosomal RNA". It matches the Rfam family "Bacterial small subunit ribosomal RNA", at positions 30 to 523 of the family's 1533-position model. The record is from RNAcentral.
AUUGAACGCUGGCGGCGGGCCUAACACAUGCAAGUCGAGCGGUUGACGGGAGCUUGCUCCCUGAUUCAGCGGCGGACGGGUGAGUAAUGCCUAGGAAUCUGCCUAUUAGUGGGGGACAACGUUUCGAAAGGAACGCUAAUACCGCAUACGUCCUACGGGAGAAAGCAGGGGACCUUCGGGCCUUGCGCUAAUAGAUGAGCCUAGGUCGGAUUAGCUUGUUGGUGAGGUAAUGGCUCACCAAGGCGACGAUCCGUAACUGGUCUGAGAGGAUGAUCAGUCACGCUGGAACUGAGACACGGUCCAGACUCCUACGGGAGGCAGCAGUGGUGAAUAUUGGACAAUGGGCGAAAGCCUGAUCCAGCCAUGCCGCGUGUGUGAAGAAGGUCUUCGGAUUGUAAAGCACUUUAAGUUGGGAGGAAGGGUUGUAGAUUAAUACUCUGCAAUUUUGACGUUACCGACAGAAUAAGCACCGGCUAACUCUGUGCCAGCCGCCGCCGUAA